GAAAGGGACGGCUAANUACGUGCCAGCAGCCGCGGUAAUACGUAGGUCCCGAGCGUUGUCCGGAUUUAUUGGGCGUAAAGCGAGCGCAGGCGGUUUGAUAAGUNUGAAGUUAAAGGCUGUGGCUCAACCAUAGUUCGCUUUGGAAACUGUCAAACUUGAGUGCAGAAGGGGAGAGUGGAAUUCCAUGUGUAGCGGUGAAAUGCGUAGAUAUAUGGAGGAACACCGGUGGCGAAAGCGGCUCUCUGGUCUGUAACUGACGCUGAGGCUCGAAAGCGUGGGGAGCGAACAGGAUUAGAAACCCUGGUAGUCCACGCCGUAAACGAUGAGUGCUAGGUGUUGGGUCCUUUCCGGGAUUCAGUGCCGCAGCUAACGCAUUAAGCACUCCGCCUGGGGAGUACGACCGCAAGGUUGAAACUCAAAGGAAUUGACGGGGGCCCGCACAAGCGGUGGAGCAUGUGGUUUAAUUCGAAGCAACGCGAAGAACCUUACCAGGUCUUGACAUCCCGAUGCUAUUUCUAGAGAUAGGAAGUUACUUCGGUACAUCGGUGACAGGUGGUGCAUGGUUGUCGUCAGCUCGUGUCGUGAGAUGUUGGGUUAAGUCCCGCAACGAGCGCAACCCUUAUUGUUAGUUGCCAUCAUUAAGUUGGGCACUCUAGCGAGACUGCCGGUAAUAAACCGGAGGAAGGUGGGGAUGACGUCAAAUCAUCAUGCCCCUUAUGACCUGGGCUACACACGUGCUACAAUGGUCGGUACAACGAGUUGCGAGCCGGUGACGGCAAGCUAAUCUCUGAAAGCCGAUCUCAGUUCGGAUUGGAGGCUGCAACUCGCCUCCAUGAAGUCGGAAUCGCUAGUAAUCGCGGAUCAGCACGCCGCGGUGAAUACGUUCCCGGGCCUUGUACACAUCGCCCGUCACACCACGAGAGUUUGUAACACCCGAA
Molecule: ribosomal RNA, 938 nt
Filed under: uncultured bacterium
Lineage: Bacteria
Description: bacterial SSU rRNA
Rfam family: Bacterial small subunit ribosomal RNA
Source: RNAcentral